This 241-nucleotide ribosomal RNA is filed under the name uncultured bacterium. RNAcentral's name for it is "partial 16S ribosomal RNA". It matches the Rfam family "Bacterial small subunit ribosomal RNA", at positions 524 to 763 of the family's 1533-position model. The record is from RNAcentral.
UACGGAGGGGGCGAGCGUUGUUCGGAAUUACUGGGCGUAAAGGGUGCGUAGGCGGCUUACCAAGUCAGGCGUGAAAUUCCCGGGCUCAACCUGGGGGCUGCGCUUGAUACUGGUGAGCUUGAAUGCGGGAGAGGAUAGUGGAAUUCCCAGUGUAGAGGUGAAAUUCGUAGAUAUUGGGAAGAACACCGGUGGCGAAGGCGGCUAUCUGGCCCGUAACUUGACGCUGAGGCGCGAAAGACGU